RNAcentral lists this unclassified non-coding RNA (290 nucleotides) under uncultured Ascomycota. RNAcentral describes it as "sequence contains ITS1". The stretch from base 1 to 105 matches the Rfam family "5.8S ribosomal RNA", at positions 50 to 154 of the family's 154-position model. The record is from RNAcentral. Lineage: Eukaryota; Fungi; Ascomycota.
GAAAUGCGAUAAGUAAUGUGAAUUGCAGAAUUCAGUGAAUCAUCGAAUCUUUGAACGCACAUUGCGCCCUCUGGUAUUCCGAAGGGCAUGCCUGUUCGAGCGUCAUUUAAACUCUCAAGCUUUGCUUGGUAUUGAAGGAUAUCUAAGGAUACCUUUCCAACAAGUUGUGCAAGUAGAUUAAACUUCAAGCGUAGCAAUGUUAUCGCUUAGUUGUGAAAUUGAACUUUGCCUUACAAUCCAAAAACUUCAAGUUUGACCUCGGAUCAGGUAGGGAUACCCGCUGAACUUAA